UAGGGAAUCUUCGGCAAUGGACGGAAGUCUGACCGAGCAACGCCGCGUGAGUGAAGAAGGUUUUCGAAUCGUAAAGCUCUGUUGUAAGAGAAGAACGAGUGUGAGAGUGGAAAGUUCACACUGUGACGGUAUCUUACCAGAAAGGGACGGCUAACUACGUGCCAGCAGCCGCGGUAAUACGUAGGUCCCGAGCGUUGUCCGGAUUUAUUGGGCGUAAAGCGAGCGCAGGCGGUUAGAUAAGUCUGAAGUUAAAGGCUGUGGCUUAACCAUAGUACGCUUUGGAAACUGUUUAACUUGAGUGCAAGAGGGGAGAGUGGAAUUCCAUGUGUAGCGGUGAAAUGCGUAGAUAUAUGGAGGAACACCGGUGGCGAAAGCGGCUCUCUGGCUUGUAACUGACGCUGAGGCUCGAAAGCGUGGGGAGCAAACAGGAUUAGAUACCCUGGUAGUCCACGCCGUAACGAUGAGUGCUAGGUGUUAGACCCUUUCCGGGGUUUAGUGCCGCAGCUAACGCAUUAAGCACUCCGCCUGGGGAGUACGACCGCAAGGUU
Molecule: ribosomal RNA, 548 nt
Filed under: uncultured bacterium
Lineage: Bacteria
Description: bacterial SSU rRNA
Rfam family: Bacterial small subunit ribosomal RNA
Source: RNAcentral